Molecule: transfer RNA, 74 nt
Filed under: Thermoleophilum album
Lineage: Bacteria; Bacillati; Actinomycetota; Thermoleophilia; Thermoleophilales; Thermoleophilaceae
Description: tRNA_Gln_CTG
Rfam family: tRNA
About the family: Transfer RNA (tRNA) molecules are approximately 80 nucleotides in length.
Source: RNAcentral
UGGGGAAUGGUGUAACGGCAGCACGACGGGUUCUGGCCCCGUUAGUCCAGGUUCGAAUCCUGGUUCCCCAGCCU